Molecule: non-coding RNA, 73 nt
Organism: Ciona savignyi (Pacific transparent sea squirt)
Lineage: Eukaryota; Metazoa; Chordata; Ascidiacea; Phlebobranchia; Cionidae
Source: Rfam
GGGGGUGUAGCUCAGAUGGUAGAGCGCGCGCUUAGCAUGCGCGAGGUACCGGGAUCGAUACCAGGCACCUCCA